Salvia miltiorrhiza (redroot sage) is the source of this 707-nucleotide long non-coding RNA. RefSeq lists it as uncharacterized. The transcript is spliced from 2 exons. NCBI's taxonomy places the organism in Eukaryota, Viridiplantae, Streptophyta, Magnoliopsida, Lamiales, Lamiaceae. The record is from RefSeq and is a predicted model, not a curated record.
UUUCUUAAUUAAUUAUUAGGCUGUAUUAUGUUGAGCCUUUUAAUUAUCUGACUUAUAUUAUUACUUCAAGUCAUAUUUGUUUGGCCCGGUUAAUUAGACGCAGCUGCCCAAUUACGAUUAAUUCUUACGAGAUUACUAAGCGAAUGAGCCGACUUAGUUAUUUUCUUUUAAUCGAUUAAAUAGAGCGAGAUCUUUUAAUCCCAUUUAAGUUAGAACACCCUAAGAGAACGGAUUAAUUUUUAUUAAUUAUCCGGCUUCAUGAAACGAGACUUAGCUUUUGUUUAAAUCCGAUAGCUUGGAUUAACAAUAGAAACUCCUUGAUUACUAUUUCAGAAUAAUAAUUCAUGCAUAUAGAUCAUGCAUAGUUAAUUCUGUAUUCUCAUUAUUUGAGGAUUUUACUUGAGCAGUAUCUUAUUUAUAUUCUCGUAAUAAAGGUCAAGCACGAGAUUAAUAAUCAGUCAAGGAACUACUGUACCACAGAAAGUUUAUAUCAGGUUGAGCAGCUGCCGAUGGUGAUGAAGUGACGAGCGGGAUUCUUUUGUCUUAUUAUGUAUUAAUGAACUCUAGGGUUACAUGUCUUCAUACAUGUAAUCAGAAUCAUAUUCCGUUGCGUACUCAAAAGUUUUAUGCUAUUUUGAAUAAGUCAGAGAUAUCUGAACUUACUAGUUAUUUGAGUCUAUAUGACUAAACUUCUGUUAUAUGAUAAA